Molecule: ribosomal RNA, 722 nt
Filed under: Pythium aquatile
Lineage: Eukaryota; Oomycota; Peronosporomycetes; Pythiales; Pythiaceae
Description: LSU rRNA
Rfam family: Eukaryotic large subunit ribosomal RNA
Source: RNAcentral
UUAAGCAUAUUAAUAAGCGGAGGAAAAGAACUAACAAGGAUUCCCCUAGUAACGGCGAGUGAAGCGGGAUGAGCUCAAGCUUAAAAUCUCUGUGCCAGUUUGGCAUGGCGAAUUGUAGUCUAUGGAGGCGCUAUCAGUGCGAUUGUUCGGGGUAAGUUCCUUGGAAGAGGACAGCAUCGAGGGUGAUACUCCCGUUUGUACCUGUUCAGUCGCGCGUACGAUACGUUUUGUUUGAGUCGCGUUGUUUGGGAAUGCAGCGCAAAGUAGGUGGUAAAUUCCAUCUAAAGCUAAAUAUUGGUGCGAGACCGAUAGCGAACAAGUACCGUGAGGGAAAGAUGAAAAGAACUUUGAAAAGAGAGUUAAAGAGUACCUGAACUGCUGAAAGGGAACCGUUACGUUUCCAGUGUCUAUAAUCCAUGGUAUAUUUCAUUGGUGUGUGAGUGCGUGCAGCGUUUUGGAAGUAGUUUUCUGCUCCUGUCGUUGUUGUGCAUUCGCCUGCUGGUGCCCUGUGCUGUGGUGGGACGUCAGAGUCAGUUCGUAUGUUGCGGGAAAUGGUUAUUGGGGAGGUAGGUCACUUCGGUGGCUGUUAUAUCCUGAUAACUAGUCGUCGUGGCUGGGACUGAGGUGCCUACAAUGUGCUUUCGAGUCUGCGGGCUUCUCGUGUUGCUGUUUGCUUGGAUAGCUUGCUAUGUUUGUAAAUAAGUCGUGCGAUUGAGACCUGU